GAGGAAUAUUGGCCCAUGGGUGCGAGCCUGAACCAGCCUAGUAGCGUGAAGGAUGACUGCCCUACGGGUUGUAAACUUCCUAUAUAAGGGAAUAAAGUGAGGACCGUGUGCCUUAUUGUAUGUACCUUAGGAAUAAGCAUCGGCUAACUCCGUGCCAGCAGCCGCGGUAAUACGGAGGAUGCAAGCGUUAUCCGGAUUCAUUGGGUUUAAAGGGAGCGUAGGCGGACUAUUAAGUCAGCUGUGAAAGUUUACGGCUCAACCGUGAAAUUGCAGUUGAAACUGGUCGUCUUGCGUGCAGUAAAGGUGGGCGGAUUUCGUGGUGUAGCGGUGAAAUGCUUAGAUAUCACGAAGAACACCAAUUGCGAAGGCAGCUCACUGGAGUGUAGCUGACGCUGAUGCUCGAAAGUGUGUGUAUCAAACA
This 421-nucleotide ribosomal RNA is filed under the name uncultured Bacteroidales bacterium. RNAcentral's name for it is "bacterial SSU rRNA". It matches the Rfam family "Bacterial small subunit ribosomal RNA", at positions 356 to 774 of the family's 1533-position model. The record is from RNAcentral. Lineage: Bacteria; Pseudomonadati; Bacteroidota; Bacteroidia; Bacteroidales.